Molecule: ribosomal RNA, 440 nt
Filed under: uncultured bacterium
Lineage: Bacteria
Description: partial 16S ribosomal RNA
Rfam family: Bacterial small subunit ribosomal RNA
Source: RNAcentral
CCUACGGGAGGCAGCAGUGGGGAAUAUUGCACAAUGGGCGAAAGCCUGAUGCAGCAACGCCGCGUGAGCGAUGAAGGCCUUCGGGUCGUAAAGCUCUGUCCUCAAGGAAGAUAAUGCCGGUACUUAAGGAGGAAGCCCCGGCGAACUACUUGCCAGCAGCCGCGGUAAUACGUAGGGCGCUAGCGUUAUCCGGAAGUACUGGGCGGAAAGGUUGCGUAGACGGCAGUGCAAGUCUGGGGUGAAAGGCGGGGGCUCAACCACCGGACUGCUCUGGAAACUGGACGGCUGGAGUGCAUGAGAGGUAAGUGGAAUUCCUAGUGUAGCGGUGAAAUGCGUAGAUAUUAGGAGGAACACCAGUGGCGAAGGCGACUUACUGGACUGUAACUGACGUUGAGGAGCGAAAGCGUGGGGAGCAAACAGGAUUAGAUACCCCAGUAGUC